UCAGGUGAAAGUGAUUAUGAUGCAUGGACUGGGGCUCCUUUACUCUGCAAAAGUGGAAUAUUGAUGGGAAAGUUGAACUUCAGCCCUGAGUUUGAAGGUGUUAAUUGCUUGACAUUCUGAAUUAGGUGGUAUGGAAGAUUACAAUGUCAUCAAAGCAUUGACUGGCUUCAGUGUGGUUGUUCUACUCUGCAAAUCUACGAAAGUUGGUGAUUGUCUCUGGAGUUGUCCUGGAU
Procambarus clarkii (red swamp crayfish) is the source of this 233-nucleotide non-coding RNA. Lineage: Eukaryota; Metazoa; Arthropoda; Malacostraca; Decapoda; Cambaridae. The record is from RefSeq and is a predicted model, not a curated record.